UACAGAGGGUGCGAGCGUUAAUCGGAAUUACUGGGCGUAAAGCGCGCGUAGGCGGCUUUGCAAGUCGGGUGUGAAAUCCCCAGGCUUAACCUGGGAACUGCAUUCGAGACUGCAUUGCUAGAGUAUGGGAGAGGGAAGUGGAAUUCCGGGUGUAGCGGUGAAAUGCGUAGAUAUCCGGAGGAACAUCAGUGGCGAAGGCGGCUUCCUGGCCUAAGACUGACGCUGAGGUACGAAAGCGUGGGGAGCAAACAGG
Molecule: ribosomal RNA, 253 nt
Filed under: uncultured bacterium
Lineage: Bacteria
Description: partial 16S ribosomal RNA
Rfam family: Bacterial small subunit ribosomal RNA
Source: RNAcentral